Molecule: ribosomal RNA, 443 nt
Filed under: uncultured bacterium
Lineage: Bacteria
Description: partial 16S ribosomal RNA
Rfam family: Bacterial small subunit ribosomal RNA
Source: RNAcentral
CCUACGGGAGGCAGCAGUGGGGGAUAUUGGACAAUGGGGGGAACCCUGAUCCAGCGACGCCGCGUGAGUGAAGAAGUAUUUCGGUAUGUAAAGCUCUGUCAGCAGGGAAGAAAGAAAUGACGGUACCUGACCAAGAAGCCCCGGCUAACUACGUGCCAGCAGCCGCGGGAAUACGUAGGGGGCAAGCGUUAUCCGGAAUUACUGGGUGUAAAGGGAGCGUAGACGGUUAAGUAAGUCUGGAGUGAAAGGCCGGGGCCCAACCCCGGGACUGCUCUGGAAACUAUUCAACUUGAGUGCAGGAGAGGUAAGCGGAAUUCCUAGUGUAGCGGUGAAAUGCGUAGAUAUUAGGAGGAACACCAGUGGCGAAGGCGGCUUACUGGACUGUAACUGACGUUGAGGCUCGAAAGCGUGGGGAGCAAACAGGAUUAGAUACCCGAGUAGUC